CAACAUCAUGGUCAAAAAAACUGGCCAGCUCUUCCACAUUGACUUUGGACAUAUUCUUGGAAAUUUCAAAUCUAAGUUUGGCAUUAAAAGGGAGCGAGUGCCUUUUAUUCUUACCUAUGAUUUCAUCCAUGUCAUUCAACAAGGAAAAACAGGAAAUACAGAAAAGUUUGGCCGGUGAGUACUGCCCUUGUGCCAAGGCUGAACACUUCUAACAUUUUCUUAUCUGACCAGGUGGACCAGCAUUUCUUAGCUGAGAUAUAUUUGGAUCUGGGAGAUAUUCAGUCUGAUUAUAGGAAGCUUUUGGGGGAAUUUGCCUGUCAGAUUAUUGUGCUGGUUCAGAAAUUCCCAGAUAGGAGAAACAGAAUGCUAGAAAUUUAAAAUAAUUAUUAUAUUUUAUUCCAAUAAUAUACUACCUUUUACCUGUUUCAGAACAUUCUCUGAAACUAUUAAGACAGUUGAUAGGAAGAUGCUGAAAAGACAUCUGCUGUCAUUGUGUAUGGAGUACAGUAAGGGAACUAGAAUUCAGGGCAAAUUUUUUAAUCUCUGAUCUAUUACUGGCUACCUACAUGUUCCCAAGCAUA
RNAcentral lists this long non-coding RNA (581 nucleotides) under Homo sapiens (human). Its description in RNAcentral is "non-protein coding lnc-CEP70-1:1". Lineage: Eukaryota; Metazoa; Chordata; Mammalia; Primates; Hominidae. The record is from RNAcentral.